RNAcentral lists this small nuclear RNA (93 nucleotides) under Phascolarctos cinereus (koala). Lineage: Eukaryota; Metazoa; Chordata; Mammalia; Diprotodontia; Phascolarctidae. The record is from RNAcentral.
UUGCUUUGGCAGCAAAGAUGCUAAAAUUUCAGUAAUACAGAGGAGAUUAGUAUGGCCCUUGCACAUGCAAAUUCAUGAAUGUUCCAUAUUUUU